AUUCCUACGGGAGGCAGCAGUGGGGAAUUUUGGACAAUGGGCGAAAGCCUGAUCCAGCAAUGCCGCGUGCAGGAUGAAGGCCUUCGGGUUGUAAACUGCUUUUGUACGGAACGAAAAAGCUCCUUCUAAUACAGGGGGCCCAUGACGGUACCGUAAGAAUAAGCACCGGCUAACUACGUGCCAGCAGCCGCGGUAAU
Molecule: ribosomal RNA, 197 nt
Filed under: Delftia sp. 10(4-3)(5.21)
Lineage: Bacteria; Pseudomonadati; Pseudomonadota; Betaproteobacteria; Burkholderiales; Comamonadaceae
Also listed under: 9 other names
Description: partial 16S ribosomal RNA
Rfam family: Bacterial small subunit ribosomal RNA
Source: RNAcentral